CCCUGGCUCAGGACGAACGCAGGCGGCGUGCCUAAUACAUGCAAGUCGAGCGGAAUGAUGAAGAAGCUUGCUUCUUCUGAUUUAGCGGCGGACGGGUGAGUAACACGUGGGCAACCUACCUUGUAGAUUGGGAUAACUCCGGGAAACCGGGGCUAAUACCAAAUAAUCCAUUUUGCUUCAUGGCGAAAUGUUGAAAGGCGGCUUCGGCUGUCACUACGAGAUGGGCCCGCGGCGCAUUAGCUAGUUGGUAGGGUAACGGCCUACCAAGGCGACGAUGCGUAGCCGACCUGAGAGGGUGAUCGGCCACACUGGGACUGAGACACGGCCCAGACUCCUACGGGAGGCAGCAGUAGGGAAUCUUCCACAAUGGACGAAAGUCUGAUGGAGCAACGCCGCGUGAGUGAAGAAGGUUUUCGGAUCGUAAAACUCUGUUGUAAGGGAAGAACACGUACGAGAGUAACUGCUCGUACCUUGACCGGUACCUUAUUAGAAAGCCACGGCUAACUA
RNAcentral lists this ribosomal RNA (507 nucleotides) under Sporosarcina sp. CL5.82. RNAcentral describes it as "bacterial SSU rRNA". It matches the Rfam family "Bacterial small subunit ribosomal RNA", at positions 17 to 503 of the family's 1533-position model. Lineage: Bacteria; Bacillati; Bacillota; Bacilli; Caryophanales; Caryophanaceae. The record is from RNAcentral.